RNAcentral lists this ribosomal RNA (495 nucleotides) under uncultured bacterium. RNAcentral's name for it is "partial 16S ribosomal RNA". It matches the Rfam family "Bacterial small subunit ribosomal RNA", at positions 28 to 507 of the family's 1533-position model. The record is from RNAcentral.
GACGAACGCUGGCGGCGUGCCUAAUACAUGCAAGUAGAACGCUGAAGGAGGAGCUUGCUUCUCCGGAUGAGUUGCGAACGGGUGAGUAACGCGUAGGUAACCUGCCUGGUAGCGGGGGAUAACUAUUGGAAACGAUAGCUAAUACCGCAUAACAGUAGAUGUUGCAUGACAUUUGCUUAAAAGGUGCAAUUGCAUCACUACCAGAUGGACCUGCGUUGUAUUAGCUAGUUGGUGAGGUAACGGCUCACCAAGGCGACGAUACAUAGCCGACCUGAGAGGGUGAUCGGCCACACUGGGACUGAGACACGGCCCAGACCCCUACGGGAGGCAGCAGUAGGGAAUCUUCGGCAAUGGACGGAAGUCUGACCGAGCAACGCCGCGUGAGUGAAGAAGGUUUUCGGAUCGUAAAGCUCUGUUGUAAGAGAAGAACGAGUGUGAGAGUGGAAAGUUCACACUGUGACGGUAUCUUACCAGAAAGGGACGGCUAACUACGUG